RNAcentral lists this ribosomal RNA (228 nucleotides) under uncultured bacterium. RNAcentral describes it as "partial 16S ribosomal RNA". It matches the Rfam family "Bacterial small subunit ribosomal RNA", at positions 568 to 795 of the family's 1533-position model. The record is from RNAcentral.
CAUGUAGGCGGCAUGACAAGUCUGGUGUGAAAUAUCUCGGCUCAACCGAGAAAACGCACUGGAAACUAUCAAGCUCGAGUAUCGGAGGGGAAGCUAGAAUUCCUGGUGUAGGGGUGAAAUCUGUAGAUAUCAGGAAGAAUACCGGUGGCGAAGGCGAGCUUCUGGCCAGAUACUGACGCUGAGAUGCGAAAGCGUGGGGAGCGAACAGGAUUAGAUACCCUGGUAGUC